RNAcentral lists this ribosomal RNA (484 nucleotides) under uncultured bacterium. RNAcentral describes it as "partial 16S ribosomal RNA". It matches the Rfam family "Bacterial small subunit ribosomal RNA", at positions 28 to 523 of the family's 1533-position model. The record is from RNAcentral.
GACGAACGCUGGCGGCGUGCUUAACACAUGCAAGUCAGGGGGCCCCGCAAGGGGUCACCGGCGAACGGGUGCGUAACACGUGAGCGACCUGCCCUUGAGUGGGGGAUAGCCGGCCCAACGGCCGGGUAAUACCGCAUACGACGUCUGGCCCGCAUGAGCCGGACGUGAAACCACUUGGGCUCGAGGGGGGGCUCGCGGCCUAUCAGCUAGUUGGCGAGGUAACGGCUCACCAAGGCGAUGACGGGUAGCUGGUCUGAGAGGAUGGCCAGCCACAUUGGGACUGAGAAACGGCCCAGACUCCUACGGGAGGCAGCAGUGGGGAAUCUUGCGCAAUGGCCGAAAGGCUGACGCAGCGACGCCGCGUGAGGGAUGAAGGUCUUCGGAUUGUAAACCUCUGUUGCCCGGGACGAACCGACGGUUUCGACCGUCUUGACGGUACCGGGUGAGGAAGCACCGGCUAACUCUGUGCCAGCCGCCGCCGUAA